This 86-nucleotide transfer RNA is filed under the name Cordylochernes scorpioides. Its description in RNAcentral is "tRNA-Tyr". It matches the Rfam family "tRNA". Rfam says of the family: Transfer RNA (tRNA) molecules are approximately 80 nucleotides in length. Their secondary structure includes four short double-helical elements and three loops (D, anti-codon, and T loops). Further hydrogen bonds mediate the characteristic L-shaped molecular structure. tRNAs have two regions of fundamental functional importance: the anti-codon, which is responsible for specific mRNA codon recognition, and the 3' end, to which the tRNAs corresponding amino acid is attached (by aminoacyl-tRNA synthetases). tRNAs cope with the degeneracy of the genetic code in two manners: having more than one tRNA (with a specific anti-codon) for a particular amino acid; and 'wobble' base-pairing, i.e. permitting non-standard base-pairing at the 3rd anti-codon position. The record is from RNAcentral. Lineage: Eukaryota; Metazoa; Arthropoda; Arachnida; Pseudoscorpiones; Chernetidae.
CCCUCGAUAGCUCAGUUGGCUGAGCGGAGACUGUAGAUGUUACAACGGUGAUCCUUAGGUCGCUGGUUCAAAUCCGGCUCGAGGGA